UACGGGGGGGGCAAGCGUUGUUCGGAAUUACUGGGCGUAAAGGGCUCGUAGGCGGCCAACUAAGUCAGACGUGAAAUCCCCAGGCUUAACCUGGGAACUGCGUCUGAUACUGGAUGGCUUGAAUUCGGGAGAGGGAUGCAGAAUUCCAGGUGUAGCGGUGAAAUGCGUAGAUAUCUGGAGGAAUACCGGUGGCGAAGGCGGCAUCCUGGACCGAGAUUGACGCUGAGGAGCGAAAGCAUGGGGAGCGAACAGG
RNAcentral lists this ribosomal RNA (253 nucleotides) under uncultured bacterium. Its description in RNAcentral is "partial 16S ribosomal RNA". It matches the Rfam family "Bacterial small subunit ribosomal RNA", at positions 524 to 776 of the family's 1533-position model. The record is from RNAcentral.